Molecule: long non-coding RNA, 2236 nt
Organism: Pan troglodytes (chimpanzee)
Lineage: Eukaryota; Metazoa; Chordata; Mammalia; Primates; Hominidae
Exons: 6
Source: RefSeq, a predicted model, not a curated record
CCUGGGCUUGAGCAAUCCUUCUGUCUCAGCCUCCCAAGUGUAGCUGGGACUACAGGCACACGCCACCAUGCCCAGCUAAUUUUUUUUUUUUAAUGUAGAGAUAAGAGUCUCACUAUGUUGCCCAGGUUGAUCUCAAACUCCUGGUCUCAAGAGAUCCUCCCACCUCAGCCUCCCAGAGUCAGAACCCAGAUCUUGGAGCUCUUCUUUUCUUCAUCUAUACCACUGCUUCCUUGCAGAUACCAGGUUUCGCCAUGUUGACCAGGCUGGUCUCAAACUCCCAACCUCAAGUGAUCCACCUGCCUUGGCCUCCCAAAGUGCUGGGAUUACAGGUGUGAGCCACCAUGCCCGGCCUAAAAGAUAAGAGAUCAAGACAUAUACAAAUUAGUCUUUGAAAGAUCUUUCACCUUGUUCAAAGUUAAGAUCCUGUGAACACCAGAAUUGUUCCGCGGCCUCUUCACUAUUGAUUGCAACAGUAUCAUUUACCUGAAGCUACACAGUGACCACAAAAACCAUGUCCAGGACACCAAAUUUCUACUGCGAACUCUAGGGUGAGACACUAAAUUCCUCACGAGCCUUUCUCUGCGAGUCCAAAAUUCAGCCACAUUUCCUAAGAGGCACCUGUACUUGUCUAUUUCAAUGCAGCCAGAAGCUGACGACGGCCCAGGAACCAGGACUGCUUUCAGGAGGCGCUCAGAAGGGCAGCAAAGUACCCUCUCAACAUUAGUAAAAUGAAACAAAAGUGUCAGCCUUGGCUUCGCACACACUUACCCGUUCAUGGGGCAUGCUGGAGGCAGACGUUCUCUAUCAGGCAAGAGUUCUCAGUCAGAAUUAAGGUCUGCCAGGCAGAGGGCCACGUCUGGUUUACUUCUGUUUUCUCACUGUUGCUGGUCUUCCCCGAUUCCUGCCUCCCUCUCCAUGUUCUGGGAUGAGACUUUGACUGGUUUCUCAAGGGGCUAACUUUUGGUUCUCUUCUGGGCGUUUCUGCCCAGAGUCCCCUGGUUUGGACAGCAGCGAUCGUCUGUAGGACACACACAGUGAAUCCAGCCACCGGAUGAGGAAUUCUGCUAAUUGUUUAAGCCUGCACUAGUGUCUGGCCACCAGUUGGCAGACACAACUCAUGGCUGCCUACCAGGCCUAGGUUAACACAGCUGGAGCCAGAUGACAGGCUCUCAAAGAUAUUCCUCUCAUGGCCACAUCUGGCUCUUGGCGGUUCCCACUGCAGCUGAACUGAUUCUGUUUGGUUGUUCUGGGCAAAAGUUUAGGCAACAGAUAAGUCGUAUUAAUUUCAGUUUAUGACAAAAAUAUCAGAACAUAUACUUCAUGAAGGCAGGGAUUUUAUCUGAUUUGCAUCCCCCUCCCACUUUUUUUUGUUUGUUUGUUUUUUGUUUUUGAGACAUGGUCUCACUCUGUUGCCCAAGCUGGAGUGCAGUGCAGUGGCACGAUCAUGACUCACUGCAGCCUGGAACUAACUACUAGACUCAAGCGAUUCUCCCACCUCAGCCUCCUGAGUAGCUGGGUCUAGAGGCACGUGCCACCAUGCCUUGCUAGUUUUUUCAAUUUUUUGUAGGGACAAGGUCUCACUAUGUUGCCCAGGCUGGUGUCGAAUUCCUGGGUUCAAGUGAUCAUCCUGCCUUUGCCUCCCAAAGUGCUGGGAUUACAGGCAUGAGCCACUGUGCAGGCCUCUUGCUUGCUGUAUCCCAGUACAGAGCAGCGGCUACGCAGGGUAGGUGUUCAGUAAAUACAGAAUGAGUGAAUAACGCUAAUCAGUGUAUGAGUGGAACAAAAACAUUCCUGUAUCUUACUCCAGCUACUCUGUUCCUACUGUUGUACGUAAAAUGGCUAGCAUGCUGGUGCACACAGAGAAGUCCUUGAAUGGCUCUACAGCUAGAUUUUAUUAUGGACACGCUCAUCUCAAGAAUGAACCCAUGUACAUUGUCAGUAUAGCUGGAAAGACCUCCAACAAUCCUUCCCUUCAAAUUACCCAGUCUCCCAGAAUUACCCACAUCCCGACUUUAUUAGUCCUUAAACUGAGAAACUUGGCAGCUCUGUGCCCACAGGGCCUGAGAGUGAUCUCAAAGUAGAAACUUACCUUUUGGCCACCACCAAAGUGGGAAAUGAUGAGGCAACUUUUCCUGGCACCUUUUCAUCCCAUUUCCUUUCCCAUGCCUCUCUUCCUAAAUUCCCUGAUAUCUGCAGAUCCCAGCUCCCUUCUACACUCAACUAUGACCCAAGGCGA